RNAcentral lists this ribosomal RNA (444 nucleotides) under uncultured bacterium. RNAcentral's name for it is "partial 16S ribosomal RNA". It matches the Rfam family "Bacterial small subunit ribosomal RNA", at positions 356 to 810 of the family's 1533-position model. The record is from RNAcentral.
UGGGAAUAUUGCACAAUGGGCGCAAGCCUGAUGCAGCGACGCCGCGUGAGGGAUGACGGCCUUCGGGUUGUAAACCUCUUUCAGCAGGGACGAAGCGCAAGUGACGGUACCUGCAGAAGAAGCACCGGCCAACUACGUGCCAGCAGCCGCGGUAAUACGUAGGGUGCGAGCGUUGUCCGGAAUUACUGGGCGUAAAGAGCUCGUAGGCGGUUUGUCGCGUCGUCUGUGAAAUUCUGCAGCUUAACUGCAGGCGUGCAGGCGAUACGGGCAGACUUGAGUACUUACAGGGGAGACUGGAAUUCCUGGUGUAGCGGUGAAAUGCGCAGAUAUCAGGAGGAACACCGGUGGCGAAGGCGGGUCUCUGGGUAGUAACUGACGCUGAGGAGCGAAAAGCGUGGGUAGCGAACAGGAUUAGAUACCCUGGUAGUCCACGCCGUAAACGGU